CCUACGGGAGGCAGCAGUGAGGAAUAUUGGUCAAUGGGCUUACGCCUGAACCAGCCAAGUCGCGUGAGGGAAGACUGCCCUAUGGGUUGUAAACCUCUUUUGUCAGGGAGCAAUUGGCGCUACGUGUAGCGUUAUCGAGAGUACCUGAAGAAAAAGCACCGGCUAAUUCCGUGCCAGCAGCCGCGGUAAUACGGAGGAUGCGAGCGUUACCCGGUUUAAUUGGGUUUAAAGGGUGCGUAGGCGGAAGGUAAAGACAGCGGGAAAAUCGCGGGGCCCAACCUCGCCCCGCCGUUGAAACUGGCGUUGUUGAGUGGGCGAGAGGUAUGCGGAAUGCGUGGUGUAGCGGUGAAAUGCAUAGAUAUCACGCAGAACUCCGAUUGCGAAGGCAGCAUACCGGCGCCCAACUGACGCUGAAGCACGAAAGCGUGGGUAUCGAACAGGAUUAGAUACCCUAGUAGUC
Molecule: ribosomal RNA, 460 nt
Filed under: uncultured bacterium
Lineage: Bacteria
Description: partial 16S ribosomal RNA
Rfam family: Bacterial small subunit ribosomal RNA
Source: RNAcentral